GAGAAGAACGCAGCGAAAUGCGAUAAGUAGUGUGAAUUGCAGAAUUCAGUGAAUCAUCGAAUCUUUGAACGCACAUUGCGCCCCUUGGUAUUCCAUGGGGCAUGCCUGUUCGAGCGUCAUUUGUACCUUCAAGCUCUGCUUGGUGUUGGGUGUUUGUCUCGCCUCUGCGUGUAGACUCGCCUCAAAACAAUUGGCAGCCGGCGUAUUGAUUUCGGAGCGCAGUACAUCUCGCGCUUUGCACUCAUAACGACGACGUCCAAAAGUACAUUUUUACACUCUUGACCUCGGAUCAGGUAGGGAUACCCGCUGAACUUAAGCAUAUCAAUAAGCGGAGGA
This 336-nucleotide unclassified non-coding RNA is filed under the name soil metagenome. RNAcentral describes it as "partial contains 5.8S ribosomal RNA, internal transcribed spacer 2, and large subunit ribosomal RNA". The stretch from base 3 to 119 matches the Rfam family "5.8S ribosomal RNA", at positions 38 to 154 of the family's 154-position model. The record is from RNAcentral.